AGUUGGAAACGACUGCUAAUACCGCAUAAGCCCACGACCCGGCAUCGGGUUGAGGGAAAAGGAGCAAUCCGCUUUGAGAUGGCCUCGCGUCCGAUUAGCUAGUUGGUGAGGUAAUGGCCCACCAAGGCAACGAUCGGUAGCCGGACUGAGAGGUUGAACGGCCACAUUGGGACUGAGACACGGCCCAGACUCCUACGGGAGGCAGCAGUGGGGAAUAUUGCACAAUGGGGGAAACCCUGAUGCAGCGACGCCGCGUGGAGGAAGAAGGUCUUCGGAUUGUAAACUCCUGUUGUUGAGGAAGAUAAUGACGGUACUCA
Molecule: ribosomal RNA, 317 nt
Filed under: uncultured bacterium
Lineage: Bacteria
Description: bacterial SSU rRNA
Rfam family: Bacterial small subunit ribosomal RNA
Source: RNAcentral